CACGUAGGGCGCAAGCGUUGUCCGGAAUUAUUGGGCGUAAAGAGCUCGUAGGCGGUCUGUUACGUCUGCUGUGAAAACCCGGGGCUCAACUCCGGGCUUGCGGGCGAUACGGCAGGCUAGAGUUCGGUAGGGGAGACUGGAAUUCCUGGUGUAGCGGUGAAAUGCGCAGAUAUCUGGAGGAACACCGGUGGCGAAGGCGGCGUCCUGGACCAACACUGACACUGAUGAGCGAAAGCCAGGGAGCGAAA
Molecule: ribosomal RNA, 248 nt
Filed under: uncultured bacterium
Lineage: Bacteria
Description: partial 16S ribosomal RNA
Rfam family: Bacterial small subunit ribosomal RNA
Source: RNAcentral